RNAcentral lists this ribosomal RNA (2023 nucleotides) under anaerobic digester metagenome. RNAcentral describes it as "bacterial LSU rRNA". It matches the Rfam family "Bacterial large subunit ribosomal RNA", at positions 3 to 1996 of the family's 2925-position model. The record is from RNAcentral.
UCAAGCUACGAAGAGCAUAGGGUGGAUGCCUAGGCACCAGGAGCCGAUGAAGGACGUGGCAAGCUGCGAAAAGCUACGGUGAGCCGCAAGCAGGCAGUGACCCGUAGAUGUCCGAAUGGGGAAACCCACCCGGAGUAAUGACCGGGUAUCCAUAUCUGAACACAUAGGGUAUGGAGGGGAACCCGGGGAACUGAAACAUCUAAGUACCCGGAGGAAAAGAAAGAAAGAUCGAUUCCUUAAGUAGCGGCGAGCGAAAGAGGAGAAGCCCAAACCCGGCGCUCAGCUUAGUUGAGCGGCGGGGGUAAGGAACGGCUGCAAAGGCCUGUAGUUAUCCAGCUGAACCAUCUGGAAAGGUGGACCAGAGAAGGUGACAGUCCUGUAGGCGAAAGGUAACGAAGGUUAAGCCGUAAUCCGGAGUACCACGGGACACGAGGAAUCCUGUGGGAAGGAGGGAGGCCCACCUCCCAAGGCUAAAUACUACCUGGUGACCGAUAGUGGAGCAGUACCGUGAGGGAAAGGUGAAAAGGACCCCGGGAGGGGAGUGAAAGAGAACCUGAAACCCUAUGUUUACAAGCAGUAGGAGCGGGGAACCGCGACUGCGUACUUUUUGUAGAACGGGCCGGCGAGUUACAGUGGUAUGCGAGGUUAAGGGCUAAGAAGGCCCGGAGCCGCAGGGAAACCGAGUCUUAAAAGGGCGGGAUGAGUAUGCUGCUGUAGACCCGAAACCAGGUGAUCUAUCCAUGGGCAGGAUGAAGCGGGAGUAAGAUCUCGUGGAGGUCCGAACCCACCGGUGUUGAAAAACCGGGGGAUGACCUGUGGAUAGGGGUGAAAUGCCAAUCGAACCUGGAGAUAGCUGGUUCUCCCCGAAAUAGCUUUAGGGCUAGCCUCAAUGUGAAGAUACGCGGAGGUAGAGCACUGAAUGGGCUAGGGGGCCGACAAGCUUACCGAACCUUAUCAAACUCCGAAUGCCGCGUAUUGCUGAUUGGGAGUCAGACUGCGGGAGAUAAGUUUCGCAGUCGAGAGGGGAACAGCCCAGACCAACGGCUAAGGUCCCGAAGUACAGGUUAAGUGGAGAAGGAUGUGGGAUUGCAGAGACAACCAGGAUGUUGGCUUAGAAGCAGCCAUACAUUUAAAGAGUGCGUAACAGCUCACUGGUCAAGUGGUUCUGCGCCGAAGAUGUCCGGGGCUAAAACCUGACACCGAAGCCAUGGGUUCUGUAGCGGGAGCUAUAGAGCGGUAGGGGAGCAUCGUAUAGGGGGCAGAAGCGCGCCUGAAAGGGAGCGUGGACUGUAUACGAGGGAGAAUGCCGGCAUGAGUAGCGAGAGGGUGGUGAGAAUCCACCCCGUCGAAAGCCUAAGGAUUCCUGGGGAAGGUUCGUCCGCCCAGGGUAAGUCGGGACCUAAGCCGAGGGCGAAAGCCGUAGGCGAUGGACAAUCGGUUGAGAUUCCGAUACCACCAUGAUCCGAACGAGAGAGGCAGUGACACAGGAGGAUAGGCAGAGCGGGCUGAUGGUAGGGCCCGUCCAAGCGGUGAGGCAGGCAUGUGAGUGAAGUACCACAUGCUGAUAAUGCCGGGCCGUAAAGGGGACCGAAGAAGAGUAGGGAAGCUGCUGAAUUCAAACUGUCGAGAAAAGCUGCUAUCGAGGGUCAGGGUGCCCGUACCGCAAACCGACACAGGUAGGCGAGGAGAGGAUCCUAAGACGAACGGGAGAACCCUUGUUAAGGAACUCGGCAAACUGACCCCGCAACUUAGGGAGAAGGGGUGCCUCCUUACCCGGCUGAUAAGAGGCAGGGUAAGAGGCCGCAGAGAGAAGGCCCAAGCGACUGUUUAACAAAAACACAGGUCUCUGCUAACUCGAGAGAGGAAGUAUAGGGGCUGACGCCUGCCCAGUGCUGGAAGGUUAAGGGGAAGCGUCAGGCGUUAAGCCGAAGCGUAGAACCGAAGCCCCAGUGAACGGCGGCCGUAACUAUAACGGUCCUAAGGUAGCGAAAUUCCUUGUCGGGUAAGUUCCGACCCGCACGAA